Molecule: long non-coding RNA, 572 nt
Filed under: Musa acuminata (dwarf banana)
Lineage: Eukaryota; Viridiplantae; Streptophyta; Magnoliopsida; Zingiberales; Musaceae
Description: long non-coding RNA (MACU_LNC002760)
Source: RNAcentral
UGAACAUAGGUGCUCCCCAGAAUAUGAAAGAUGAAAUUAGUUGUACUCUUUCAGACCUCCACAGCCAGUUGUACUCUGUGUUUCUCAAGGCUUCUAACUUGUGAAGGUAUUGUAUGUCCCAAGCUUGUAGUUUCAAAAUUUUCAUGUUUCGGAGGACUUCUGCGGUUGCUUUCAUUCGUUCAUCUUUAGCUUUCAUGAUGCUGCUCUGGAAUCUUUUUUGUGCUCUUGUUAUAGGAAUAUUGCAUGCCAUUACCAUUGUUGUUGCUGCUAAUCCAGCAAAAGAUCCCACUCCCAGAUUCUUAUGAAGAACAUAUAUUGCUAGUGAAAUCUGAACUGGAAGCAUCCAUAUGAUAUUUGAAUGCCACAUGAGGUCUGUGAUCCUUUGGAUAUCCACACUUAUGUAGUUGAUAAUCUCCCCACUUGUAUGGCUCUGCCGAGACUCACUUGAUAACUCAAGACCCUUUUUAUAUAUAUGGGAUAUUAGAGCAGCUCUUACACGCAUUGCAAGCUGUUGGGCUCCAAAAUUCCAUUGUCUCUGGCACACAGACUCCACAACUUUGGCACCUAGGAAU